This is a non-coding RNA of Podarcis lilfordi (Lilford's wall lizard), 4630 nucleotides long. The record is from the annotation of a GenBank genome assembly. Lineage: Eukaryota; Metazoa; Chordata; Lepidosauria; Squamata; Lacertidae.
GGAAAAGCUUCAAAAAUCACCAAAGUCUUUAAAAACCUCUAAAAAGGCUACCACACCGCAUUCUAUGAGUUGCUCCUCGAAGUCAAGUCGCAACUGUAUUAACGGUGUUAAGAAAAAGGAAACAAACUUGCAAGACGUUUCCGUCUUGCAAAGCAAGCCCAUAGGGAAAAUCGUCUUGCGAAGCAGCUCAAAAAACGAAAAACCCUUUUGUCUAGCGAGUUUUUCGUCUUGCGAGGCAUUCGUCUUGCGGGGCACCACUGUACUUCAUAUAAUGAUGGAAGAAAAUCUAGUAAUGGAAGAGUUCAGGUCCUGGCUAUCUGGAGUCUGCUCAGAGUCCAUUUCAGAUUGGAACGAAACUAUUACUGGGUCUUGGUCGAUUUGAAAGGGAUCAAUUUCACAGACAUGCAUACAAUCUUUUUUUCUGCUUCCCCUUUAAUUUCCCAAAAGUUGAUUUACUAUUUUGUCAUUUUCAUUUUUAAUUGUUUUCCCCCCCAUUUCUCUCCCCUCCUUUUAAAAUUGUAUAUAUAACCUAAGCAGCUGAUGAAGAUAAGAUGGACCAAAUUGUGUAUCCCUGUAUGUUUCUUCUGCAAGUGGAAAAAGAAGCUAAGUGUGAAAGGACCCCAUGGAUCCCUAGUAGUUACUGUCUGGAGUACAGUGUUGCUGACCAUGCUUUUGCCAGCCUCCAGGGCCUGAAGCUAAACCGCUAUCCGUGCCACAGAUUCCUGGAGCUGUCUCCACUGCCAUAAGUUUGGAAAAUGUGAAGGGAUGGCUUUUUAUUUGGAAAAUGGAAGGGAAUACUCUUCAGCAGAAAGAAGGGUAUAUAAGCCCUUUUACUCUCAUGGUGAUAUUGGAAGUCCAAUGGAGCUUACAGUCUUUUUUGCCAAUUCUUCUUUUAAAUUCACUUAAAAGAAAAAUAAUAAUCAAUUAAAUGCAAUUUAAGAAAAAAUAAUUAAUUAAAUGCAAUUGCAGAUUGGAUUGUGUGUACACAUGAAUAUGUGCAGGAGUCCAGCCACCACUGCCUGUUUGUCAUGACAGGAGCUUUUCACAGUGGAUAAAAAAGAGAACAGCAAAGAUCACAAGGAAGCAUACAUAUAAUUGCACUGUGUCUAAAGCACAUUUUCAGAUUUUAAAAUAUGUCUCUAUUAAUAAUGUUUUACAUUUAUUAAGAGUGAAGAUAUAUGAUGGUAGCUUAGAAUUAGUGAUUGGAAUGCAGUUGAAUUUGUAAAGCUGUAUCAGGGUGUGAGUGUAAUUAAGAGAGACAGAGAGUUUGUUUCAAUGGAGUUCUGUAGAUUUUCUGUUCCAUUCUGAAGGUUUCUAUUUGGAAGAAUCCAAAAACUUCAGAAAUGGUUUAUAGAAAAGCAAUGCUGAAGAAUAAAAAUCUUUAUAAAUCAUGUAUAUUGUCUCUUUUUAGUCAUAUGUAUUCUCGAUCUUGAUCCAUGCUGGUUUAAAACUGAAUCAACUAAGUCCAUAAAUAUUCUCCAUAUGGGGUCAUUGUAAAGAAUGACUAAUCAGUUAUGAAAAAAUAAGCUAGACUCUUUUUUUCUAAUCUGUUUUCUACAGUUGCAUAGAAGAAGGGGUGGAGACUGGCAUUUGCAGUUUCAAACUGAUCAAAGCAAACAUUAUUAUUCUUUCAGUUCUGAAUUUGCCAAAUGUUCCAUGAAGCCUUGAGGCAAUUAAGUGGAAUAACAAGGUCUAACUGAAUCUGAAAUUAUUCUUCCACAAAUUGCUACAGGUUUUCUUCAGACUAAUUAGUGUGAUAGUUCAAGGCAUUCACAGGCAGAUAUUGAACAACGUAUGUCAUUUAUUAGGCUUCAUAAUAUUUAUUUAACUUUUUAACCUGCCCAAUUCUGGAACUCAGAAUUGGGUUAUACACACAUACACACACACACACACACACACACACACACACACCCCAACCAAAGCUUAAUCUCAGUCACCAAAAGCAAACUCAAAUAAAUUAUUGCUUCUGGAAAAUUUUGGAGCACAGGCCAUGGCAUUGUUUUCAGAACUGACUCCCUUGUAUACUCAUGAAAAAUAUCUAAUUGGGAUGAAAAAUCUAAUAGGUUUUGCAGUAAAGAUUCAUGGUGAGGGCACUCGAGUUUCCUGAACAUGGAUCUUUCUUGAAAUAUUCAUGUAACACUUUCAUUUGGGUAUAAUGCUACACUAAUGGAUAAAAAAUAUUCUGAUGGAAUUGGGCUUUAAUUGGGAGGUGCAUGAAUGUAAUUUUCUUGUUUGAAAAGAUAGCUGUCAGGUUGGAGAGUUUCUGCAAUCUUGGUCCAAAUUGUGACACAUCUGCUUCCAGCAAAAGAAAAUUGCAUCAAGAGACACAUUCACCUAUCUCCCAUAGUCAUGGGACUUCUUCAGUACAUGGCUAAGCCAAAUUAGCUUCCCAAGUUUGUUAUUUAUGCCCUGGGAAAGACACUUCUUGAGAGAAGUGGAGCUAAGAACAGAGACAAAACCUUUCUUACUGGUGACUGUAGAGCUCUGUUAUUGGCUCCCAUCAUGCACAUUUAUUUAUUUAGCUACACAGUUGGACAUUAGUCUGAUUGGAGGCACCAGCUUUCCUUGCUGCCCUCAGUACACCUGCUCUCCAACCUGGAGCAGCUCUGCUCACCCAUACAAUUGCCUCCCCAUACAUACUGAAGUACAGGUUACAAAGGUCUAGAGUUGUAUCCUAGCAAAUGUAUCUGCCUUUUUAAUUGCUCUUAAUGUUGUUGACAAGUUUGGCAUACAUAGUUCUGUUUAAUCUACACAGAACUCUUCAGAUAGGAAGUGAUCAUUUUUCCCAGUAGCAUUGUUGCUAGGACAUUUGGUGUUCUGUGCAGUGUUUGCUAGAAAGCUAUCUUUUUAAGUAAAGCUGAUCUUCGAGUUAAUUUCAUCAUAAUCCUUUCUUAAUUGGUUUUCCUUGUGGGUGGAUCUGAAUAACUUUAUUUGGAAACAAAGGAAAUUCACGUUACUGGAAAUGGUGUGUGAGCCACUUCAGUGAACACUUCAUUCAGAAACUAUAGAUGUAGCCAUUGUUGUGGUUCCUCACAGCCUAAUAAUUGUCCUACCAAUACAGAGAGUGGUGUGAGAGCCAUAAAGAGCUGACAUAACUGAUUUACCUGUUCUGUUCCCAUAUUUAAAUGUUCCCAUGAUUGUUUGAGAAAGCCACUUGGAAUUUUUUUAUAAGCUUCUGUGAUAAUGUAUGAAUUGAAUUUAGAACCUUAGAAAGUUGAGUGCUCAUGUUCAAUAUUCCUCUUCUAGGAUACUUCAUUACACCCCACCCCCACCUGUUUUCUCUCUCUCAUGCAAACACCCAAUGUGCAUUCAGUGCAUUCUGUGACUACUGACUAUAUUUGGUCCUCAUUAGAUUGGUUCUGGGUUUUUGGAUAUGGAGGAGGAAGAAAACUUCAUUUUUUCCUGAAACUUCAUGCACGUUUCUAAAUUAAAGACAUAUCAGAAGAGCUUAAACAGUACAGUAAUUCUGGAAGUACCUCCCUUGUUCAACUAUUCCUAUAACAAUAAUUUCGGUAGUAAUUUUGCUUUAAUUUCCUUUUUGUCUCAAACCUAUUAAAUAAUUCUAAAUUAUACUAAGACUCCAGGAUUGUUAAAAAAAUUGUAAUAAGCCUCAGAGAUUGUUUAACUUUUCUAUAUAAGUUCAGCUCAAAAAUUUUUAUGUAGUUUUCAUUAUUUCUUCUAUUACCUUAGAAGUGCAUAAUUGGAUUUUAUCUCUAAAAGAAAGACACAAUCACACUAACCUUUGAAAAAGGCCCCCAGUUCGUCCAUUAAGAAUUUCAAUUGCUUCACAAUGAAAAUACCUCCUGGUACCACCUAUUAAAGGUUGGUUUGACAAAGUGUGGGAAUUGCUUAUAAUCUUGUCUGUAAUCUAUGCAUGAGUGAUUUAUUUCUGGAAUUUUUACAGAUGAUUUCUUGGAAAAAUGGUUCCAGUUUAUGAUAAAUGUUGACUCUUAAAAUAGGUUGUAUGGAAGCCCUACUAGAGUUGAUCUUAUAUUCUUAUUGACUUAUUGAUACUAAAAGCUUUUUUAAAAAAUAGAAUUAAAAUGAUUGGGAGCUGACACAAUUUUAUAGCAUAUUUUACACUGUAAAUUACAUGAAUUUUCAAUGAAUUAAAUAUCUGGUCAGUGAAAGUGAAAACUGGUGGUUAUAUUUGCAGUGAGUCAUUGAGGGGUGUAUAAGGUGUUAGGGGAAGGGCAGUACCUAAGGUGGGGGGGGCGGACAUUGUGCUCAUUCUGGGAUAGUUUGUCCACCUUUGAUCCCCACCCUGCACUCAGCUAUCACCUGUGACUCCUAGAAGCUGUCAGCAUGUGACAGUAGCCACACCCCAGGAAAUGGCUUCGACUGGUCCACUGAAUCAGGUGAGGGUAGCUGAUGGGUCAUAAACCCUUGGUGAGUUAGGGAAUUACACUGCAUGCAAAGGCAGGCUCUGGCAGAAUGAGUGGAUGAGACCAAUAGAGAAUCCAAUGGUCAAAAAGGCAGUUUCUGCACGUAAUAUGUAAAGAAGCGAGGGGCAGAUGGGGCCGUGAACAUAACAACAACAACAACAACAACAACAACAACAACAACAACAACAACAACACCCCAACUGACUGGGUUGCCCUAGCCACUCUAGGCAGCUUCCAGCAUAUAU